RNAcentral lists this ribosomal RNA (459 nucleotides) under uncultured bacterium. Its description in RNAcentral is "partial 16S ribosomal RNA". It matches the Rfam family "Bacterial small subunit ribosomal RNA", at positions 339 to 795 of the family's 1533-position model. The record is from RNAcentral.
CUACGGGCGGCAGCAGUGAGGAAUAUUGGGCAAUGGAGGCAACUCUGACCCAGCCAUGCCGCGUGCAGGAAGACGGCCCUCUGGGUUGUAAACUGCUUUUGUUUGGGAAUAAACCCUUCUACGUGUAGGAGGCUGAAGGUACCAUUCGAAUAAGGAUCGGCUAACUCCGUGCCAGCAGCCGCGGUAAUACGGAGGAUCCAAGCGUUAUCCGGAUUUAUUGGGUUUAAAGGGUCCGUAGGCGGGUCUUUAAGUCAGUGGUGAAAGCCCACAGCUCAACUGUGGAACUGCCAUUGAUACUGGAGAUCUUGAGUGUAGUAGAAGUAGGCGGAAUAGGGCAUGUAGCGGUGAAAUGCAUAGAUAUGCCCUAGAACACCGAUUGCGAAGGCAGCUUACUAUGUUACAACUGACGCUGAGGGACGAAAGCGUGGGGAGCAAACAGGAUUAGAUACCCCUGUAGUC